This is an unclassified non-coding RNA of Cavia aperea (Brazilian guinea pig), 283 nucleotides long. Its record names the gene 7SK. It matches the Rfam family "7SK RNA". Rfam says of the family: 7SK was discovered as an abundant small nuclear RNA in the mid-70s but a possible function has only recently been suggested. Two independent studies have found that 7SK RNA binds the CDK9/cyclin T complex (known as elongation factor P-TEFb). The record is from Ensembl. NCBI's taxonomy places the organism in Eukaryota, Metazoa, Chordata, Mammalia, Rodentia, Caviidae.
AAAUGUGAGGAUGAUCUGGUUGCGACAUCUGUCACCCACGGUGGCCAGGGCAGGUCACUCCUUCCUCUCUCACCACUUCACGUCCCUCCCAAAACUGCACACACAGUCAAAGAGGACGCCCACCCUGACAGAGGACAUUGCUUGGUCAAGGGUACACAGGUAGCUAUGCUCCCUGCCAGAGCCACCAAAUGAGCUCUCAAACACUACCAGGAGCCUGGGCCCCAGCAUCAGAUGCACUGUUCUAAUUAAAGGAGGUGUGGUCAUUGUGGCCGCUUGUCCCCAA